CAAUCACGGAUUACAAAAAGAAAACCAGCCCCGUCGCGGACACUGACGUCUUGCUCCCAGACAAACUAAACAACUUCUUUGCUCGCUUUGAGGACAAUACAGUGCCACUGACACAGCCCGCUACCAAAACCUGUGGGUUCUCCUCACCGCUGCCAAUGUGAGUAAAAUAUUUAAACAUGUUAACCCUCGCAAGGCUGCCGACCCAGACAGCAUCACUAGCCGCGUCCUCAGAGCAUGCGCAGACCAGCUGGCGGGUGUGUUUACGGACAUAUUCAAUCAAUCCCUAUCCCAGUCUGUUCUCCCCACAUGCUUCAAGAGGGCCAUUGUUCCUGUUCCAAGAAAGCUAAGGUAACUGAACUAAACGAAAAUCGCCCCGUAGCACUCACUUCCGCCAUCAUGAAGUUCUUUGAGAGACUAGCCAAGGAUCAUAUCACCUUCACCCUACCUGACACCCUAGACCCACUCCAAUUUGCUUACCGCCCCAAUAAGUCCACAGAUGACGCAAUCACAAUCACACUGCACACUGCCCUAACCCAUCUGGACAAGAGGAAUACCUAUGUAAGAAUGCUGUUCAUCGAUUACAGCUCAGCAUUUAACACCAUAGUAACCUCCAAACUCGUCAUUAAGCUCGAGACCCUGGGUCUCGACCCUGCCCUGUGCAACUGGGUCCUGGACUUUCUGACGGGCCACCCCCAGGUGUUGAGGGUAGGAAACAACAUCUCCACCCCGCUGAUCCUCAACACUGGGGCCCCACAAGGGUACGUUCUCAGCCCUCUCCUGUACUCCCGGUUCACCCAUGACUGCGUGAUCAUGCACGCCUCCAACUCAAUCAUCAAGUUUGCAGACGACACUACAGUGGUAGGCUUGAUUACCAACAACGACGAGACAACCUACAGGGAGCAGGUGAGGGCUCUCGGAGUGUGGUGUCAGGAAAAUAACCUCACACUCAACAUCAACAAAACAAAGGAAACAGCAGAGGGAGCACCCCCCUAUCCACAUCGACGGGACAGUAGUGGAGA
RNAcentral lists this long non-coding RNA (1019 nucleotides) under Oncorhynchus kisutch (coho salmon). RNAcentral's name for it is "lncRNA (ENSOKIG00005013617.1)". The record is from RNAcentral. Lineage: Eukaryota; Metazoa; Chordata; Actinopteri; Salmoniformes; Salmonidae.